UGACACUAGAGCUUGCAAUUUUCCCUCUAACAUCUUGGGAUUUUACAGGACUGGUAUAACUAGAGGUGAUGGUGUUUAUCCAUGGGAAGGUCCAGGCAGCCUCUGAAUCCCACCCUUGGCUGAAAUUACAGCCUGUGGUAAUGAUUUCUCACCUAUUAAAUGCUCAGAAAGGUGAGUGAAAAUUCAUGUUGAAGUUGCUUCAGGUCUAUGGCUUUUGAGAGCAGAAGUCAUCCAACACGAUGAGAAGAUUCAGCAAUAGAUGCUGUUGGGGACAAACUGCCAAAAGCUUGUGGGGACUGAAAGGAUCAAGCUACAUGCCUGCAUGCUGGUUAUGUGUGAGGAACCGUAACUGACAGCAGGUGAAGCCAGCUACAAUUAAACAGUCUGUGAAGGGAGGAGAAGGCAGUCUCUGUCACAUAUGAGAGGAAAACAGAUACUUUGGGUGUCAGGUAACAAGGGGUGAGAACAAACUUCUCUGUUGAAUGUGCACGAUGUAAGUGGAUGAAUACAAACACUUCUCCCGCAACCAUGCAUUCACGGCCCUCCUUUCUAAUCUUUAAUUGGGAUAUAUGUAUAAGGGAGUGAAGGGGCUUCGUAUCACCCUCCUGUGAUGCUUUACUGCUACACAGAGCUCUGUGUGCAUUAACCAGCUCUAAAAAUUUCUUUGUAGCCUUUGCAAUGGGCACAGAAGUUGUCAGCAGAAGACCUGGACCUGUGCUACAGCUGGGAAGUCACAUCAGUUGCCGAGAGGGAGGAUCUGCAAGUUUUGGCACCCAAACCUUCUGACUAGGCUGAGGGACAGAGCUGACAGAGCCGCGAGGACGAUGCCUGAGGCCCUGGGGCACAGCAACAAGCACAGUUGCACACCAGCAAGGCCAGAGCUUGGAGCAUGCUGGGGAAACUCAACCCAGACAAUUGCAUUGGGCCUGAUCCUGCCGUCAUUUGUAGAGAGUGACAGAAAAUAGGGAAGGUAAGAACCUUACAAGGAGACCUGGCCCAUCUGUCUUCAGCCUGUCACCCUAAAGAGCAGAUUUUACUACGUGGUGCUUUUCAUUUGCUUUGAAUGGCCAUAUAAUAACACAAAUCUUUAUGUUAAGUGCUGGUAAUGCAGAAAACAGUCCUACUGUCAUGCUCAUUUUGCAAGGAAGUUUAGGGAUAGUUUAGAUAGUUGAGACAACUCAACUUCCAGUUACAUAUUUGAAUAAAUCUUCACUUUACCAAGGCUGCUUUUUGUUU
Molecule: long non-coding RNA, 1236 nt
Filed under: Anas platyrhynchos platyrhynchos (common mallard)
Lineage: Eukaryota; Metazoa; Chordata; Aves; Anseriformes; Anatidae
Description: lncRNA (ENSAPLG00000026775.1)
Source: RNAcentral